GUGUUUCCACUUGUAGUCCCUUUCCAGUCCCGACGAAAAUCGUGUACUACUCUCGCUCAAAUCACUCAUUUUUUUCUGAUGCAAAUAUUUGGAAAGAAAUUGUUAUUCUCGAUUCUGAAUUAGGUAUUGAAGGUGUAGAAAUGCAAGCUAAUCCAAUUACCAGGAUUUUCAGUGCAAUCGUCCUCUCUUUACCUACCCGGUAAGUCUUUUGCUCCAAACUUGUAUUACGAUUUUUUUCUUGGUUUUUUAAUGUGUUAUUUCAGAGCUUCAUAAGCUUUUAUAUACCUUGAAUGGAGAUGAAUACGCAUAUAUAUACGUAUAUGGUAUAUGUUUAUGUGUGUUGAACUAUUGAAGCAUUCAUUUGACGGUAUACUAUUUUUAUGCUGCAUUUCAUAAGUGCAUAUUAUUCGAGGACCCUGUUCACUUUGAUCAAUUAUUAUCGAUUUUCCUUUUUCUCUUGUUAACUUUUCUUAGGCAAAAGUCUAAUUAGUAAUAAUGGUGACUUCUCUUUGAAUUUUAAGUUUCUGCUUAUGUCUAGAAUCACCAAAGGCAUAUGAGGUAAGUAAAAGUAUUAAAUUGACCUUUCUAAGUGAGAUUUCAAAUAAAAAUGAAGCAUUUUAAACUGCCUUCAUCUUUUCGGUGUUGCAUGUGACUCUGCGAAUUUCUGGAGAAUUGAUCAUUGUGGCUUAUUUUUAAUGAAACCUAUGACAAGCGUAUUAACAAAAUAAGCCUACUGAUGAAAAGGAUAGAAACAGGGUUACCUUAUGUCAUGAAGAUCGUGUAAGUUAGGAUCAUAGUUAACAAUGUCCUGUUUCUGGCAAAUCAGUUUUUUUGACCUAUUGCUUCCUUGUUAACUGGGUUUUUGGUCUGUGGUGAGUGCAGCCAAUAUAUUUUUCUCAACUUAUGAUUGGCGUUCACUGCAUUAAUAUCAUGGAACACAUGUUGAAGUUUUGAGCUGGA
Molecule: long non-coding RNA, 960 nt
Filed under: Olea europaea (common olive)
Lineage: Eukaryota; Viridiplantae; Streptophyta; Magnoliopsida; Lamiales; Oleaceae
Description: long non-coding RNA (OEUR_LNC002721)
Source: RNAcentral